AUCCUCUCAGGGUCACGCCUGGAGAGUUUCCGGCCCUCUACCGGUCUCGAUUACAGGAGGGAGAGUCAAGCAGAGGCCUGUCCGUUCCAUUCCUAGCUUGGACAGUGGCUAGCGGGUGGAAGGCCAUCUGCUACAAGU
Molecule: small nucleolar RNA, 138 nt
Organism: Ornithorhynchus anatinus (platypus)
Lineage: Eukaryota; Metazoa; Chordata; Mammalia; Monotremata; Ornithorhynchidae
Source: RefSeq, a predicted model, not a curated record